Long non-coding RNA from Serinus canaria (Common canary), 1063 nucleotides. RefSeq lists it as uncharacterized. Lineage: Eukaryota; Metazoa; Chordata; Aves; Passeriformes; Fringillidae. The record is from RefSeq and is a predicted model, not a curated record. The transcript is spliced from 2 exons.
AGGAAAUCAGUGCCUUAAAAUCCUUAAAAUCGGAGGGUUUUGGGAAAGCUGCAAUAGACUAGACUCAGAAACAGUAGAACCCUGAGUAGAGCUAUGCAGCAGCCAUAGGAUUGGUCAGCAGAAAAAUUAUAUAAGAAGUAGAAAGUAAGGAGAAAUAGAACAAUUGUCUGUGCAUUAAGGCUUAUCUAGAAUAUCUCCCUAACCUGCAGAAUGUAUAUCUAGCAAGAUAUUAGGAAGUUCCAAGCUAAUAAUGGAGGUCUAUGUAUUGUGUGUUUUAAGGCUUACAAGCAGGUAUUGUAUUUGAAAGAAGCAAGCCCAGACCAAGUAGGGUGUCGUGGUUUAAGAGGAAGUGAAGUUUUUGUGAUGGUGUGGGCAAGCCAAUCGGUGUUCAGAUUUAAUAUUGGCACCUGGUUUGUCCACUGAGGGCAUGGAUCCGCCUCUGAGAACACAGGGGUUAAAAGCUGUGAUCUCCCGGGGGAACUUCCUCUUUGAGUCCCGCUGGAGAGUUAGCAGACCCCCCCCCUGCCCAGAUCUGGCUGGGCAGGGGGGGAGGGGAGCCAUGUGGCCGGAGAGAGAGAGGGGGAGGCGAUGGCUCAGAGCCAGGAGAGUGCAGUGAUGUGGAGGAGUGAACAGAGACGACGGGUGAGGAGGGUGGUGGUGGUGCCCUCCGCUUCGAAGAAGAGAAGAAGAAGAAGACGAUCUCUGUUCCAGAGACCCCUCGGCCCCAGGGGGUGAAAUUUGGGGGGGACAGGUGUCCCAAAAGGAGAAGGACUGUGCUCCCUUUGGAACUGGUCAAAGUAUCCUUAAAAUGAAAACCCUAGAAGCAGCUCUGAUCCAUGUGCAGUGGUGAGAGCACUGGACAUGGAAGUCAUGUGGCGCAAGAGGGACUCCUCUCUUCUCGAGAGACUGAGAAUCGAUUAUCUGAAGGGUGGCAGUGGAGUUGGAAAUUUGGUGGGGGGAGGAGGAAGAAUUUGGAAGGUUUUCAUCUUGUGUUCUAUGUGUUUUGUGUGUCUUUCUUUGUAGUUGUAGGUUAAUAAAUGUUUUCUUUUCCUUUUAACUCUAA